RNAcentral lists this long non-coding RNA (5018 nucleotides) under Homo sapiens (human). RNAcentral's name for it is "HSALNT0225762". The record is from RNAcentral. Lineage: Eukaryota; Metazoa; Chordata; Mammalia; Primates; Hominidae.
CUUUGAUGGUACGCAGUUUAAUUCAAUAGAUCAAAGCUACGUCUAGAUUUUAAAUAAAUGAUAGGGAUUUAAAAUUGUAUAUAAAAAACGUCAUUAUAUCUUGCUUUCUUUGGGUAUGUAUUCUUUAAUUGAGCAGGCAAAGAAUUUUAAGAGAAAAAUAUAAAAUGCAGCUAUAAUAUUAUUAAUCUGAUCUUGCUAUUUGAAAGAAUCUAGGUCAGUUAUGUUUUGAGCUAUUACUGUUGAAUCCUGUGCAUAUAAUCUUUUUUCUUCUCUUUUCUUUUCUUUAUUUCUUUUUAUUUUGAGAUCGAGUCUCUCUCUGUCUCCCAGGCUGGAGUGCAGAGGCGCGAUCUUGGCUCACUGCAACCUCCUCCUCCCGGGUUCAAGUGAUUCUCCUGCCUCAGCCUCCCGAGUAGCCGAGAAUACAGGAAGCUGAGCUAAGUGAGCAGCUGAAGAUGAAGGGAAGCCCAGAGGUUUUGCAGGUCACCAGAAAAGCCCUAAUUGAAGGAGACGCUGUGAGGAGAAAAUCCAGCCUGCUGAAAAGCCACAGGACACAUGAAGACGGUGAGGUGUUUGCUGGCUGGGUGGAAAGAGGCCUGCAGGCAGGGCCGGCCUACCUGUGAGUGGAUUCGAAGGCAGCGUCCCCCAGACGUGCGGCCAGGAACAGCACCUCAUUCCUGGGCACAGCGCUUGGUGAAGAUGCUGGACACCCCUUCAAAGGGCAGGCGCUGUGCUGGGCUCUGGGACUCGUGGGUGAACUGCACAGAGCUGGGCCCUGCCUUCAGGGAAAGAAGACAAUAAGCAAAACAUACCCAAAGAGAUGGUUACAAAGACAGCGAGCACCCGGAAGGAAAAUGGAAGCUGCCAGGAAAGGGGCUCCUGGGCCUACUCACCAGGAAGUCCAGUCCUCACCAGCCCGGAGGCCUGGUCUGCAUCCUCAGCCUCACAGAAGCUCAACCAGUCACUUAAAACGAGAUUGCAGUGAUGUUUUACAACUCUGUGAACGCACUAAUAGCCACUGAAUUCUACACUAACGUGUGCAUUUUAUGACAGGAGUGCUGCAUCUGGAUGGCAUGGCAGAGGGAAGCCCCAGCUGCCACUGCUCCAGGGACCCUUAUAGUUCCACGGUGAUGGGGAACAGAAAGAGGCUCUUCCAGGAAACAGCCUUGGGGACAAGGAGACCACACUUCUGGGUGAUUCGAAGAUCAGACAAGGCUCCUGUAAAAUGAACGAAUGAAGUGAAUGAAUGAGACGGAGUUGCACUGUUAGAGAUGGUGGCAGCAGUGUGAAUCAAAUGAAGUCCCUGCUCUCCCGGUUGUGGCCACGUUAGUCCAGCCCAGAAGAGUCUCCAGGGGCCCGAGCAUCUGUCCUCACAUCAGAACUAGCUUUGGGAUUGUGACUUUGGGGUUGCUUUGUUGGCUUCCUUUUCCUGUCAGGCAGCAUAUAGGGCUGGGGGCUGUCAACCGCACCCUCCCUGAAUCUACGUCCAUCACGAGUCCCCUUGCAGGGCCUUCUUUUUUUUUGACCCAGCGUCAGUCAUGUAACUUGCUUUGGCCAAGUGAUGUCAGCAAGUGGGAUACAAGCAGAGGUCUGAAAAGUGCUGGCAAACGGGGCUUGCUCGCUCGGCUCUGCCACAGUGUGAGAACGUGCCUCGACUCGCCUGCCGGUGGACAGCACACUUGGAACAGGACUGGUGUCGCCAGCUGCCCCAGCCGAGGCCACCCUAGACCAGCCAGCAGCCAGGACCAUGGCCCGGGCGAGUCCAGCCUGCAUCACUGGCUGCAGACUCGUGGGCUAAAUAAUUGCUCAUUGCUUCAAGUCACUGAGUUUCAGGGCAGUCCGUCCCAUAGCAUUAUUGUGGCAGUGGUCACUGAUGGGGCAGUAGGAGGGCUCCUGUCAGUACCAGGAGCUGUUGGCUCCUGUCAGAAAGGACCUAGUGGUAGCCAGUGUGGACCUGGAACAAGAGAGUGGGCCUUAAAACGAGGAUCUCCAGGCACCAUGUGGGGCUGAGCCUCAUAGGCAGCCAUUCCUGAAGCGCAGGAGGUGGUAGGAAAUUAGGAGGCAAAGGCAUGAGAUGCUAUGGCAGCUUCCCUGAGCGGGGACGAUGGGCACCACUCAUCGGUGGGCACCGCAGGGUGAGUCAGUUCCCGGCCCUGCUGCUUGAACUCAUCUCCCACAGGCACAGGCUGGCCGUGGGAGUCCGCGGGCCACGUGCAGUCUCCUCAUUCCCACCUCCUCCAGGUUUCCUUGCAGCCUCCACCUCCAGGGCUGAGUCAUGAGCUCAUGGCCCCAGGGAAGGAGAAGCUGGAAAGGCCUAGGACUUCAAGGUCACAGAGCUGUCAGCCCUCUGGGGAACUGCCUUGGUAGAACAGAGUAGCCACCUCACCCAAGGCAGCCCCCAGCCAGGGACGGAUCAGCUUGGGGGCGUAAACCUUGGUCCCCUCACCGCAGCUUGGUGCAGCCUGCAGGGCCACCCCAGCUCCGGGGCUCCUGAGACCAGCUUCUCCCUCGGGCCAUCCUGCCUGUCCCAUUCUGUCCCCUUCCAUCAGGGCUGACCCCCAGAGGACACCCUAACAAUUCCCUGCAGCCCAGGCUCCACCUCGGUGGGUAGCAGCUUCCCUGAAACCAGUGGUGCUUCUCAUUCAGUCCCUGCAGGCUGAGAAGCAGCCUGAAGGAUCUCCACUGCUUCCAGGCGAGGCCCCAGGGAUCUGCUGAGAAUCUGGCUGGUUGGCUUGCCAGGAAACAUCACUGUGAGUGUGAAGUGUCCCAGCCUUUGAGGGCCGCACGCCCACUGCCCAGGCAAGGGCUGAAUGGGAGCUUCAGAACUCAGGAGAUCACAGUGUGGGCGAGCCUAGGCUGCAGGACGGAGCCACAGCAAGGGUGACACAGGUUGCCAGUGCCCUGUGGAGGACACCACAGAACCCCACGGCAGCCCGGGCCUGCCGCGCCUGCACUGUCACCCACUUGGGGUGGAGCAUUCUUCUCUGCAACCAGCUAUAGGAAAUACAUAGUCUUAUAAUCUUUGUCCACCUGAGGAAUUACAGAUGGUCCCUGGCUCCUGGUGCCUCAAUUUAUGAUUUUUUGACUUUAUGAUGGUUUGAAAUAUUGGCAGUUUUGAUGAAUGUACAGUAUUCAAUAUAUCAUGUGAGGUAUUCAACAUUUUAUGAUAAAAUGGGCUUCGUGUGGCAUGAUUUUGCCCAAUUGUAGGCUAACCUGAGUGUUCUGAGCAUGUUUAAGGUCCACUAGGCUAAGCUAGGAUGUUCGGUAGCUUAGGUGUGUCAAAUGCAUUUUCAACUUACGAUAUUUUCAACUUGGAAUGGGUUUACCUGGAUGCAACCCCCAUGUAACUCGAGGAGCACCUGUAUGCGUCAAUUGCCUUCACCCUCUAACAGGGUGGGUGUGAGGGCUGCCAUGUCAGAGAAAGCAGGCCUGGAAUGGCGGUCAGAAGAGGAUUCUGGAAAUUCUGAGGUUUCCUAACAAGGCCCCAGUCAUGGCAGGAGGCUCUGAGGGCUCCACUGGGGCCGGAGAGGCUGCUUCCAGGCUCUCUCUGGCGUCCCUUGCUGGGGCUCCAGGCCUUCUCCAGCUGCUGGUGGCAGACCUGGAUCACAGGGCUGCUCAGUACAAGGCAGCUGGCUUUUCCCAGAGCAAGGGCUCUGAAGGGGAGGGAACAAGAGAAGGCGGGCAAGGUGGGGGGCACAGGCGUUUUGUAGCCAAAUAAUCUUGGAAGGGACAGCCCAUUACCUUUGCCAGAUUCUACUUAGUUGAAGCCAGUCCCUAGGUGACAGGAAUCACGAAGGCCAUUGGAGAGGCUGCCUGCCCUACGGGAUUGCAGAGGGGACGAGGCCCAGCAAAGUCUGUGGAGCUGGAGGAUGCCACGCCCAUUCAGGACGAAAUGCAGAAGGACGCUGCAGAGCCUGCUUCUCUGUUCCUUCGCCUCACUGGGGCAGACCAGCUGCGGCCAGCCUGUGCCCACUCCUCGCGGACCUGGGUACUGCUUCCAGAGAUCCUUCAGUCCUGGGAGUUUAAUCAUUCUGUCCCGGCCUCUUUGCUCCCAGCCCUCCCCUGGCAGUUGCUGCUCUAUUGUUCUAGCUCAGUUUUCACUUUUUGCCCUUGCAAUGCACAAGGGUUAGCAAUUCUUGAUGGUACAGUCUCUCUGUUCGAAGAGCUGGGGUGGUUUCUACUUCUAGCUGGACCCUGAGUGAUCCUUCAGGCAGGGGUCUCUGCGACUGGAGACAUGCUGUGUGCAUGAGGUCCCAUGUACACUCAGAUUGCAUCCCCCAUCCCUGCCCAGCCCUGAGAGGCAGGCGAGACAGUCCCCCUCUCACCAUCUCUGGGGUGGGCCUGGAUUUAUUGGCUGAAGAAUUACACCCUCUUUGAUGGUAUGCAGUUUAAUUCCGUAGAUCAAAGCUAUGUCUAGAUUUUAAAUAAAUGAUAGGGAUUUAAAAUUGUAUAUAAAACACAGUCAUUGUAUCUUGCUUUCUUUGGGUAUGUAUUCUUUCUUUAAUUGAGCAGGCAAAGAAUUUUAAGAGAAAAAUAUAAAAUGCAGCUAUAGUAUUAUUAAUCUGAUCUUGCUAUUUGAAAGAAUCUAGGUCAGUUAUGUUUUGAGCUAUUACUGUUGAGUCCUGUGCAUUGAUUAUAUAAUCUUUUAUUAUUAUUAUUAUACUUUAAGUUCUAGGGUACAUGUGCACAGUGUGCAGGUUUGUUACAUAUGUAUACAUGUGCCAUGUUGGUGUGCUGCACCCAUUAACUCGCCAUUUACAUUAGGUAUAUCUCCUAAUGCUACCCCUCCCCCCACCCCAUGACAGGCCCCGGUGUGUGAUGUUCCCCACUCUGUGUCCAAGUGUUCUCAUUGUUCAAUUCCCAUUCCCACCUAUGAGUGAGAACAUGUGGUGUUUGGUUUUCUGUCCUUGUGAUACGUUGCUGAGAAUGAUGGUUUCCAGCUUCAUCCAUGUCCCUACAAAGGACAUGAACUCAUCCUUUUUUAUGGCUGCAAAGUAUUCCAUGGUGUAUAUAUGCCACGU